GUCCACUUCCCUUCACAGGGAGAGGCCUCGGUGCCUGGUGGGGCAGCUUCCCCGCACUCCUGUGAAGAUGUGGCUCUGAACUCGGAGGGGGAUGCGCUGCGUCACAGGAGCACUCACCUGCCAUAGAAUGGGACACUAUUUGGAGAAUCACAAAACCUAUCCCCUGCAAUUACCUACCUGUUGCAGGAUGCCACAAGCAGACAAAAGAGAGC
RNAcentral lists this long non-coding RNA (212 nucleotides) under Fukomys damarensis (Damara mole-rat). Its description in RNAcentral is "lncRNA (ENSFDAG00000025386.1)". The record is from RNAcentral. Lineage: Eukaryota; Metazoa; Chordata; Mammalia; Rodentia; Bathyergidae.